Molecule: unclassified non-coding RNA, 55 nt
Organism: Seriola lalandi dorsalis
Lineage: Eukaryota; Metazoa; Chordata; Actinopteri; Carangiformes; Carangidae
Gene: 7SK
Rfam family: 7SK RNA
About the family: 7SK was discovered as an abundant small nuclear RNA in the mid-70s but a possible function has only recently been suggested. Two independent studies have found that 7SK RNA binds the CDK9/cyclin T complex (known as elongation factor P-TEFb).
Source: Ensembl
CCUGCCACCCCAUCUAUCUAAGUGGUGAUUCGGCUGAUCUGGCUGGCUAGGCAGG